This 837-nucleotide ribosomal RNA is filed under the name bacterium enrichment culture clone F8 1.705-A15. RNAcentral describes it as "bacterial SSU rRNA". It matches the Rfam family "Archaeal small subunit ribosomal RNA", at positions 1 to 844 of the family's 1478-position model. The record is from RNAcentral.
UUCCGGUUGAUCCUGCCGGAGGUUACUGCUAUCGAGGUUCGACUAAGCCAUGCGAGUCGAAUGUAGCAAUACAUGGCGAACUGCUCAGUAACACGUGGACAACCUGCCCUUAGGACGGGGAUAAACCCGGGAAACUGGGUAUAAUACCCGAUAGGUCUCGAUUGCUGGAAUGCAUCGAGAUUUAAAGCUCCGGCGCCUAGGGAUGGGUCUGCGGCCUAUCAGGUAGUAGUGGGUGUAGCGUACCUACUAGCCUACGACGGGUACGGGUUGUGAGAGCAAGAGCCCGGAGAUGGAUUCUGAGACACGAAUCCAGGCCCUACGGGGUGCAGCAGGCGCGAAAACUUUACAAUGCUGGCAACAGCGAUAAGGGAACCUCGAGUGCCAGGUUACAAAUCUGGCUGUCGAGAUGCCUAAAAAGCAUUUCAUAGCAAGGGCCGGGCAAGACCGGUGCCAGCCGCCGCGGUAACACCGGCGGCUCGAGUGGUAACCGUUAUUAUUGGGUCUAAAGGGUCUGUAGCCGGCCGGAUAAGUCUCUUGAGAAAUCUGGCAGCUUAACUGUCAGGCUUUCAGGAGAUACUGUCUGGCUCGAGGCCGGGAGAGGUGAGAGGUACUUCAGGGGUAGGGGUGAAAUCUUGUAAUCCUUGAAGGACCACCAGUGGCGAAGGCGUCUCACCAGAACGGACCUGACGGCAAGGGACGAAAGCUAGGGGCACGAACCGGAUUAGAUACCCGGGUAGUCCUAGCCGUAAACGAUACUCGCUAGGUGUCGGCCACGGUGCGACCGUUGUCGGUGCCGUAGGGAAGCCGUGAAGCGAGCCACCUGGGAAGUACGGCCGC